GCUAAGGCUAUGGCUCCCGCAUUGGCGUGCUCUCUCGGCAAUGCGCCAGGAUCACUAGGUCAGGGUUUUUCUUCCAGGAGGAGCGGCCGAUUCGCCGCUACCGCCGCUACCGCCGCGGCCGACUCGAAUCCAUCGCUGCAUUCUUCUUCUCUGUUCGCGGGGUUUGAUUUCGGGACGUCCGGCGCGCGCGUUGUGGUGAUCGACAAGGAAGGGGAGAUUCUUGCGGAGAGGAAGCGGCAGUAUCCAGCAGGCUGAGAAUCCCGCGGCUGCCAGCGGAUGGAAGGCGACGCUGUUUGCGCUGCUGGAAGAAAUUCCGGUGGACUUCCGCGCUCGCGUUGGCUCGAUUUGUCUGGAUGGGACUUCUGUGACCACGAUGAUCGUCGACAGAAACACGGGUGAAUUGUUGUCCCGUCCAGUUCUAUAUAACGAGAGCUGUUCCCAGAGUCUACCAUUCGUCCACCAGAUUGCUCCUGCCAACCACACUGUUCUCACUGGAACUUCCACUCUCUGCAAAAUGGUCGCAUGGUGGCAGCGAGCCGAGAAAGAGCAAAGGAAGAACGCGAUUUUGAUGCACCAGGCGGACUGGAGAAAUUUCCAGGUGGGUAGAGCAUGGAACCCCACCCUUGGACUGGGAUGAGGAAAGAAGAGGUAAAAAUCAAUUUUCAUUCCCUCUAGCUUGUCCAACAAGCAUCGGCACACUUGGGCAUGCCAUGGCAGUCAGCUCCAUGGCCUCGGCCAUGUCUGGUGCCAGCCAGCUCCGGGGCUUUGACCAUGUCCUGUAGCACCAGCCUGCUCUGCCAGCCAGCUCUAAGGCCGAGUGCUACCCAGCUCCAAAGCCGAAUGCUAAGGCGUCUCUGCCAUGGCCAGCCAAGCCAAGGCCAUGUCCCAAGGCAAGAGCAGGGAGUUCAGAAAAAUGUUCCUUAUCUUUCUAUAAAAUAGAAGAAAUUAAAAGGAACAAAAAUUAUUUA
Molecule: RNA transcript, 968 nt
Organism: Selaginella moellendorffii
Lineage: Eukaryota; Viridiplantae; Streptophyta; Lycopodiopsida; Selaginellales; Selaginellaceae
Gene name: D-ribulose kinase-like
Exons: 3
Source: RefSeq, a predicted model, not a curated record